AAUUUUGGACAAUGGGGGAAACCCUGAUCCAGCCAUCCCGCGUGUUUGAUGAAGGCCUNCGGGAUNUNAAGUACUUUUGGCAGAGNCGAAAAGGUAUCCCCUAAUACGGGAUACUGCUGACGGUAUCUGCAGAAUAAGAACCGGCCAACUACGUGCCAGCAGCCGCGGUAAUACGUAGGGUGAAAGCGUUAAUCGGGAUUACUGGGCGUAAAGCGUGUGUAGGCGGUUCGGAAAGAACGCUGUGAAAACCCAGGGCUGCACCUUGGAACUGCUUUUUUAACUGCCGAGCUAGAGUAUGUCAGAGGGGGGUAGAAUUCCACGUGUAGCAGUGAAAUGCGUAGAUAUGUGGAGGAAUACCGAUGGCGAAGGCAGCCCCCUGGGAUAAUACUGACGCUCAGACACGAAAGCGUGGGGAGCAAACAGG
RNAcentral lists this ribosomal RNA (424 nucleotides) under uncultured bacterium. Its description in RNAcentral is "partial 16S ribosomal RNA". It matches the Rfam family "Bacterial small subunit ribosomal RNA", at positions 360 to 776 of the family's 1533-position model. The record is from RNAcentral.